This 253-nucleotide ribosomal RNA is filed under the name uncultured bacterium. RNAcentral describes it as "partial 16S ribosomal RNA". It matches the Rfam family "Bacterial small subunit ribosomal RNA", at positions 524 to 776 of the family's 1533-position model. The record is from RNAcentral.
UACGUAGGUGGCGAGCGUUGUCCGGAUUUACUGGGCGUAAAGGGAGCGUAGGCGGAUUUUUAAGUGAGAUGUGAAAUACUCGGGCUCAACUUGAGUGCUGCAUUUCAAACUGGAAGUCUAGAGUGCAGGAGAGGAGAAUAGAAUUCCUAGUGUAGCGGUGAAAUGCGUAGAGAUUAGGAAGAACACCAGUGGCGAAGGCGAUUCUCUGGACUGUAACUGACGCUGAGGCUCGAAAGCGUGGGGAGCAAGCAGG